RNAcentral lists this ribosomal RNA (287 nucleotides) under uncultured bacterium. RNAcentral's name for it is "partial 16S ribosomal RNA". It matches the Rfam family "Bacterial small subunit ribosomal RNA", at positions 27 to 314 of the family's 1533-position model. The record is from RNAcentral.
GGACGAACGCUGGCGGCGUGCUUAACACAUGCAAGUCGAGCGGUAAGGCCCUUUCGGGGGUACACGAGCGGCGAACGGGUGAGUAACACGUGGGUGACCUGCCCUCAGCUCUGGGAUAAGCCUGGGAAACUGGGUCUAAUACUGGAUAUGACUCCACGGUGCAUGUCGUGGGGUGGAAAGCCUUGUGCGGCUGAGGAUGGGGCCCGCGGCCUAUCAGCUUGUUGGUGGGGNGAUGGCCUACCAAGGCGACGACGGGUAGCCGGCCUGAGAGGGCGACCGGCCACACU